GCUGUAGCGAAAUACGUAUGCGGCAGCGCUGGGUGGUGGGCCAUUACUGCGGAGCAGGGUUGACGGAUCUGAGGAUAGUGCGGACGGCCGUCGGUCUCGCGUGGUGAGCCGUGUGGAUCAGAACCCGCGUCCCCGUCUGAUCCGUGGACCAGGAAAUUGGCUUUCCGUGUAGUGAUGGCAGCAGAAACGAAUUGAGGGCAGGACCGAGAUUCUUCUCGGCUACGGCGUGUGUCAUUUGGAAGCUGAAGACCCGGGGACGGAGGCAACUGGCGUCGCCGGCGAGCCGCCAUGGAGUUUCUGGUGCAACUAAUUAGCAGAUUUAGUCUGCUUCAGGAGGUAGGGGAGCCGGUUCCUGUGGUUGUCAAUGUCUCUGCCAUGGCGGAUCUGCAAGUGGCAUUGCAGGCGGAGCGGGACGCAGCGCAACGGCGGUGGACAGCGGCGAAGCACAAAUCUUCUUGGGAAAGGAGGCGGCGGCGAACAGAAGGGAGAGCUCGCCACCAAGGUCGGAGCUGUCGACGGGGAAGAUGAAUCCCCAAGCACCGGGGUGGAACAAAAGGUGGAGAGGCGUCCCAAUGAUAGCCACAACAAGUUCAGGAAGAAUCUUGGAGCACCUUUUGUCAAGGAUUUGAACUUUUCAAGCCAUCUCUGCUCUCUUUCGGCUCCGCUUGAUGGAUGACCAAAAGUAGCUUUAUAUCCCCAUGAAAGUCUCGAAUGUUCCAGUAAGUAUUGUUCAUGUACAUUAUGAAAAUGCUAUUCGGUUGAGUCAUGUUUUUAUUCUGUCAAAUGAUGAUUUUUUUAGUAUAGUUGACAGUAAAAAGUUUAAACCCAUUAGAGAUUAUUAAACAAAUGUUCAUCUGAAAACAGAUUGUGAGGGUUUGAUUGAGAUAUGGAAAAGCCACAAGAAGAAUCGUGCUUCUGUUCUACCUAUUCUCCUUGAAAUCCAAGAGCUCAGUGGUUCUUUUUUUAUUUUCCAGUUCAUCUUUGUAAGGCCUGAGUUAAAUUUAGCUGCACAUUUAACUGCCAAACAUGCUUCUAGCUCCUUGCCGGAGUGUGCGCGGUUCUACUAGGUCCCGGCAUCUCUGAACAAUUGUAUAUAGCAUGAACUUGCUGUUGUUUGUCAAGUAAUAUAAGCUAUUGCUUCCCCCAAAAAAAACACAGUUGGCUUGCAGGGUAAAGACACCAUGCCCGUCGCACAUGACUGCCUUUUGUUUCUGAACAAUCAUAGGUGCAGCACAGCCUUGCAGGACACUGUGCCUGUCACGCGUGACUGCCUAAAAGCCAUGAGGGGUUUUGCAUAGAACCCUACAGAGAAUGUGAUUGUACCACAGUAGAUAGAAGUUUCGACUCCCUCGAAGAGGCGUACAAUUUUUACAACAUAUAUUCAUGGGAGAAAGAUUUUGGCAUAAGGUAUUGGAAGAGCAGAUUGAGUGUAGAGAGGACAUAUUGCAUGCAGGAUAUCGUCUGCGGAUGCUUGGUGAGUACCAUGAAAAUGUGUCCCCGUAUGGUUUGAAACUUUGUUCAGUUUUAUCAAUGAACUGUCCUAUUCCUAAAAUGUAAGCCAUCGAUUUUAUCCGUGUAAAUCAGAUUCCAGUCAAACAUACAGUGAAGAGGUGGACAAAGGAAGCCUACUGCCAGCACACCUGGCCCAUUAUCAUAAGGAUCAAAUGUAUAGGAAUCCAUUCUCGUAUUGACACAUCAGAAUGUACAUGCAGAGGUGCUGAAUGUGAUUUGGACUGCAGAGAAGGGAAAGUUGUGAGUGCGGAUCUGAACUGUUCAUUAUGUAAUUCGAGAUACAGUUUUUAGAGUCAUAACUGACGAUGAUCCAUUUCACAUGUGUUUGUUU
Triticum urartu is the source of this 1843-nucleotide non-coding RNA. Lineage: Eukaryota; Viridiplantae; Streptophyta; Magnoliopsida; Poales; Poaceae. The record is from RefSeq and is a predicted model, not a curated record.